Long non-coding RNA from Nematostella vectensis (starlet sea anemone), 245 nucleotides. RefSeq lists it as uncharacterized. The transcript is spliced from 2 exons. The record is from RefSeq and is a predicted model, not a curated record. NCBI's taxonomy places the organism in Eukaryota, Metazoa, Cnidaria, Anthozoa, Actiniaria, Edwardsiidae.
GCCCAAGGCGCAACCAUUAUCAUAACCUCCAAACGGAUAGCCGUUUCCUCCCGUCUUUUCUACGCGAAAUUCACCUAUUUUAAGGACUUGAUGAGCAGAACAUGGAUUGCAGUGAAAGGACAUUAUGAUAGAUAUAGCAAAAUGUGCCCGAGUUGUAAAGCCAGAAAAAAAAAAGAGAAAUUUGAGGUACAAGGAACGUAUCAAUGCGUGAAUAACAAGAAUCGAAUAAAAACUUUUCAAACUGA